UGUAUUUCUUGUAUUACGUAUGUUUUAAACUUGGAACAAAUGAGAGACAUCAACCCAGUGGAGAAUAAUAGCUGCUCCAUGUUGCUAAUGGAAAAUCUAUGAAGAUUUUCUAGUACAAGCUCUGUAUACCAGCCACAAUAAUGCACUUUCUAAGAAUCUGAAGGAGCAUCAUGGGGAUUUUCUUUUUGUUUUACUCUACUUUUUGCUAAUCUGAGUGAUGGUGCGUUCACGUGUAGCAGAUUGCAAUCCGUGCCAAAAUCUGGAGUCGGAAAUGGCACAGCUGCUAAAGAUUUAGAAGUGAAGAUGCAAAAGUCAUAGAAAUUGGUGAAAUGAUUGCAAGCAGCACAGGCAAACUGGACUAGGAUUCAGAUAUUGGUUCUUGGUAGUGUUAGAAAGUUAUGUGGUGUUGCCCUUUGGUUCAUGUGGCUGGAAACACUAUGCACGGUCUUGUUUUGAUUGGAAUUAUGGAAAAAUCGUAGUGUGCAUGUUGAUUGUAUUUCUGAAUGCAAGUGAUGAGCAAUGGACCUCUCCAAUGUUUUUAUCUGUUUUUUAUUCGUAACGAGAGACGCGUAUAUUCAUCUAAUGUGAUAAACGGUUCCAUUUAACGGAC
Molecule: long non-coding RNA, 610 nt
Filed under: Setaria italica (foxtail millet)
Lineage: Eukaryota; Viridiplantae; Streptophyta; Magnoliopsida; Poales; Poaceae
Description: long non-coding RNA (SITA_LNC004257)
Source: RNAcentral